CCUGUGUUUACUCUACAUUAUUAUAUAGCCCCAUAUGCCAAGUAACUGGGCAGAUAGCUGUAGGAAUAUGUACGCCACAUGGGGCCCAUGUGCCAAAUAUCUGGGAAAAUGCAUGGCCAUUCUUAUUUUCAUUCUACAUGGGCCCCACAUGCCACAUACCUGGGCAGAUAAUUAUGCCCUGGAUUCCUCUCUGACCCACUGUUAAUUAUACUUUAUUUUUAAGACGUUAUACGUAGCUACAGUUAUGACAUGAAUGCUCCAUUGCGGUACUUUUUACUUAAUAAGUGUAUGCGCAUGCUCAGUAGAAAUACCAGUUUGAAUGAAGUUAGCGAUGAUCGGACCAUUGGACUUAAGCCAAUGAACCAGCUGUCUUGGCAGUUCCGGUGUCCUGUUUCAAGUUUUGAAUUCACAAACGAAGCGCCCAUUCUAGUGCCGUCGUCUUGUAGGGAGUGUAAAGGAAGGAAGAUUCAUAGGCCUAAGAAAAUUUGCCAAGUCACAGUGAAGUAAAAGAGUAAAAAAAAAAAAACCCCAAAAAAAAACAUGGCAUCCAUAGGCCGUUAUUAAUGGAGCUACUGUAAGUAUUGGCGAAGAUGGACACGAAAACUUAAAAUUCAAUAUGCAUUAUCAGAUCACCAGUCCUGAGCUGCAGUAUGUACUACCUGCCAACAUACCAGUACUUUAUAUGGAGGAAUUAUAAUAAUUUUGAUCGGUUCUUGAAGAUGGUCUUGUGCAAACAAUUGUAUUUUCAAGCCUUGAAAACUUUUUUAACAACAUUUAAAUCUAUCCUGAACAACUUUGUUUCCUGACUUCAUCUGAACUGGAUCAAAAAGUACUAAGAAGUUUCAAAAGAUCAAGAUUGUCAAAAUCGGUAAAUUAAUAGAUUCUAAAAACCAAAUGUUUGGGCGAGACUUUUUUAUACCUUGUUUAUCGAACCCGCCUACUGCA
Anneissia japonica is the source of this 945-nucleotide long non-coding RNA. RefSeq lists it as uncharacterized. The record is from RefSeq and is a predicted model, not a curated record. Lineage: Eukaryota; Metazoa; Echinodermata; Crinoidea; Comatulida; Comatulidae. The transcript has 3 exons.